Molecule: ribosomal RNA, 254 nt
Filed under: uncultured bacterium
Lineage: Bacteria
Description: partial 16S ribosomal RNA
Rfam family: Bacterial small subunit ribosomal RNA
Source: RNAcentral
UACGAAGGGGGCUAGCGUUGUUCGGAAUUACUGGGCGUAAAGCGCGCGCAGGUGGUCUUUCAAGUCAGUGGUGAAAGCCCGGAGCUCAACUCCGGAAAUGCCAUUGAAACUGUAAGACUUGAGGAUGAGAGAGGUGAGUGGAAUUCCCAGUGUAGAGGUGAAAUUCGUAGAUAUUGGGAAGAACACCGGUGGCGAAGGCGGCUCACUGGCUCAUAUCUGACGCUCAGGCGCGACAGCGUGGGGAGUCAAACAGG